UAAUACAUGAAUCAAUAUGUAUCAGAACAACUCUGACGAAGUUGUCUAUGAAGAGAAAGAGUUAAUGAUCAUCACUGAUCAUUUAUGGGCGGAAACAUCUGAACGCAUAAUGUAUUAUUUCAUCACAACUUUCAUAAUAUUUCUUUAGAUAGAUACAGAAAACAAGUUGCGGAAUGUAAGGUUUUCAGAAUGAUCGAAGAACCGUUGAACUAUUGAUUAUGGUCAAUGAUCUAUAACUUUCUAAUGACCUUUUUACAAACGAAUGGACUCAUUCUCACACACGAUGCAUGAGUAUCGGAUGUAUGUGUAACUAUUAGUAUCAGAGGGAUUAAUCACUCAUUAGCAAGGGAAAACCACAGUGCGUAAAUAUACUGAUGACGUUGGGCUAUAAAUACCGACAAGUGACUGUUGACUAACCCACUGUGAGGUUAGUCCCUCAUAACAGUCACACAUCUCGGGCGGCGUGCAACGUGUGGAGGUACAGUUAACGACGAGUUAACUCCCUUAGGUGCACAUCGGAGGAUGUCAGCUGACUCUGUCAAAUCUGGUUACGGUAAAAGACCCCGUACUUCAUCUCACCGGAAGCAUGGGAAGUGUCGGUCAUGUCGGCAGAAAGACGUGUGUCUUGUGUUUCUACCCUGUGGUCACGUGGUGUGUUGUGAUGACUGCGGCGCGUCCCUCAACACGUGUGUGGUGUGUGACCGACCCAUCAGGGGCAGUAUCAGAACCUAUUGAUGUCACAGACCCCCAUACACAGUGAAAGCUCUGUGAUGCCACCAGGAACUGCAGCAGAACUUUGUAUGAGUUAGUCUCUCUUUGUGUCAUUAAAUGAAGUCUUUGAUAGACAUUUAAAAGUUGCAAGAACAUGCCCACAUAACAUUUUAUAAUGGAUAAUAUUGUACACUUUAUUCUUUGUUCCGAAAUGUUAUGUAUUUAUAACAAAAUUAUAUAAUUCAAUAAAUAUGUAAAUUUCGUCAUUUCACUAUUAUUGUUUCAGAGACAUAUAUUUAGGUUUAUAGCGAGUUUCUUGCCGCGCGUUUGCUCUUCUUUAAAUACGGAGGAGCACUAUCCAGUGUAUCACGAUUGUAUGCUUCAAUAAUUCAUACAUUCAAAUCAACUGGGGUUCAAGUGUUAUAAGCUUUGUCAGAUUUGGUACUUAAUUCUAAUGAAAUACCAAAUUAUAACUCCAGCAUUAAAUAUAUUGUUUUUUUAUAAGUGAAGUCUUAUUAAGCCUUUUUCAAUAACACCCAUGUUUUCUGUAUUGUAACAGGAACCAUGGCAGAUAACAUGUACUAUCUGACAUUCUUGGAAUUUGAUGUAUGUAUUUGACAUAUAACAUUACUUUACAACAAUCGCAUCUGCAGUUCUCUCCUGCAUUCAUGCCACCUGUGAGGCAGUAUACGCUCACCUGGUAUCAUCACUAUUUCACGGUGAUUUGCGUGGAUCGAGGCUCAUGAUGUCAAUCACUGGAUUGUCUGGUCCAGACUCGAUUAUUUUACAGACCGCCGUCAUACAGCUGGAAUAUUGCGGCGUGCGUUACACAACACACCAACCAAAAAAUCAUAAACCCAUGCUCAUAAUAUACUCGGAGUCGUUCACUCUAUCCUGCUUUCGGCAUCGAUAUCUUACAAAAUUAAAUAUGGAAAGGAUUUUGUCGAUUUUAUUUACUGUUCACCAGGUAAUUACGACUUUGGACAUACCACCAGAUAUCACAUGUCACUGAUAAAAAGGUGAGUUUGAGUCAUGAUCAAAUACCCCAAGCAAUCCAUCUGUUUGUGACAAGCACAUCCAUACCAGCACUAUGCAUGUAUGUACGUCUUCUUUAUCAUGGAACAUAUUUCAGCUGUUUCAUCUUUUACAGUCUUCUUUUUACAAACAAAUUUCGCAUCUAACAACCUUCCCUAGAAUUGUGUUUCUUUCCACCUUUUUAAAUCAUUGCUAAAGAUGACCACACCUUGUUUGGAUCAAAGAUGCGAAUCAAAUAUGCGAAGAGGAUAAGGAAAAAUGUGUUGAUAAAUGUCAGGGCAAUCCAAAUUGAUCAUACACUGAUACAUAACGUAUGCCGUAUAUUUAGCCAUACCCACUGUGAGAUCCACGUCAUGUACGUACUUAUCACUGGUGCUGAUCGAUGUCAGAGUCGUAUAUAGAACACUCAGCCAAGAUUACUAGGGAGAGUGUGUACUCUCCAUAUAAAGGACAGUUCACACAGGCCUCUACCGGAGUUACAGAAUUAUACCACGACAACAGACAGCUCACACCUGACGUUCAGAGCCGUGCCGAUACAUAAUAUAAUAAUAAUAAUAUAGUUUAUUACAGUGUCAUGUGUUACAAAGCAAUACAACAUUUAGCACAUACUUAAAAUACAAACACCAGGCCUCAGUGGGCCGAAAUGACACUUUAAGGUAUUACAAAUAUUAAAAUACAAUUAGAUAUAAAAAGUAACCAUGCACAUUCUUAAUAUCUACAUAAACACAUAUUCACUAACACAAUCACAUAAUGCCUUCAUGCAUACACACAUAUAUACAUACGCACUCACGCACGCACGCACGCACGCACGCACGCACGCACGCACACAAUCAAUCAUUCUAAUAUUCUCCCGCACAUACUAAACAGACACGCAAACACAUUCAGAUAUCUCCCACCCCGUCACUCGAGACAUACACGCACGCACACAUACACACACACACACACACUCAACCUCACUCACAAAUACACCCAUACCCAAAUUCAUGCAUCUACACACACUCCAUAUCCUUUCUUCUGACCGUACCAACAUUCAUAUCCCCUCCCCACACACACCCAUAACCCAUAACCUCACACACUCAAUUACACUUUUCAUAUAAAAUUCAUAUUCAAUAGUUAAGUUAUUGUACACCUUGCAGCCUUUUGUGAUACAUUUUCUGAACACAUCUCGCCAAUUCUAGCUGGAUACGUUCAGUGUUCAUCAACCACUUAUAUUUAUCUAACGUGGACAGUUCACAGAAACUACUGAACUGAUUAUUGCAUGUAUCAAAUAAACAUUUCCUUAAAACAUUGUAGAAUUUGCACACCACAACAAAGUGAACUUCAUCUUCGAUUAACUGUUCCUGACAUAGUUGACAAAGUCUAUUUACCAAGGGAGUCACAGGCUUGGUAUUCCUGCCACUUUCUAUAGCCAGGGGAAUGUUUCCACAAUGUAAUGAGGCUAAUAUACUUCUUUGUUGUCUGGGUAGAGACAUUUUCACAUAGUGAGAAGUUUGGAUAGUUUCUUUAUAUUUCCUAUAUGUUCGUAAUUUAUUUCCAUUGCAAUUACCUUUGUCAUUAAAUAUAUCCGAGAACCACUUUUGUAUGUCUCUUGUAUCUAACACUUCAAGGCAUGCUUUGAGAAAUGAGGCACGUUUAGCCUUGACACAAAAAUCUAAAACGUCCAUAUUUCCAUGAAUAUCUAUUUUUUUCACAAAUUCACACACCCUAUAAUCCCAGGAGGAUUUUCUUUUAAAUGACCAUUUAUGGACUAUGGCACACACAGAUGUUUCACAGGAGGUGAUGAUUUUAUGGAAACUUCGAAGAACUUCAAUUUUAAUUUUAGUAUUUUGGCUUCUCCACCCCAUCUCUCCUCUGACGGCAACAUUAGAGGCAUUCUUUCUCACUCCCAAGAAGAAUCUGGAGGCUUUAUUCUGAAUAUAACUUAUUUCUUUGUACAUAUUUAUGCCCCACACACUUGCACUAUAGUUAAGAACUGGUUGCACAUAACUAUCAAAUAAUUUUGUGAACACUGCAUGGCUUAAACCUCCCGAAUGGUUGAGCUUACUGAAACUAACUCCAAGUGCCCUGUUUGCCGCAUACAGCGUCGCUUUAGCUGGUACAAGGGAUGAGGUUAGACUUACAUUUAGUCUCUGAAAUCUUAUAUUACACAAUAUCCUUCUUGCCUCUAAAAACAAUUCCCUAUGUGGAAUAGAACUAGCUUGCGCUGGCUAGACUUGCUUUUGUAUGCGUUUCUAGAUUAUUAUUUUUUCAUAAAUGAAAUAUAUUCCAGUCAUGGUGCAGGACUAGGAUGAAGUGUGCAAUUACAGUAAUAACUUCUUGAAACAUGUUUAAUGCGGAUGUGUGUAUUUUAAACUUAUUUUAAUUCUAACAGGGUAUUAUAUGUGAUGGAUGAAUACAUACUGAGCCUCGGAUUAUGAUUUGAAUUCAAAACUGAUUUGAACUGACGAACAGAAUAUUAUCACGGCAAUAGGCAUAUUUGACACACAGAAACAUAUACGAUCAAUGGAGUGAGUUCGUUGAGGUGGGGUGGGAGCUAAUUAUAAAUGACGGCAUGUCUGCUUAAUGUGGGAGGAAAACCCAACGUGAUGCAGGUCUUAGGUCUUUGCCAUUUUAGUGAAAACCACAUUGAAAUAGCAAUGCGAGUCCCACGCGAAUACAAUAUUUGAAGCAACGAUCAUAUAGUUCUGGCACGUCCGUGGUCCCUCUAUUCAGUGUAAACAUGUUGAAAAUUGAUCUAAGCUUAAAUGUUCAUACUUUUGUCCUUCUGGUCCAGCUAACAUGACUCCGCUUGUUUCAUUAUUUCUUUUAGAGAAAUGAGAAAGAUGAGGAAGUUCCUUUUAGAUCACGAUAUAGACAAAAUCUCACAAGCAUGUUCUUGGGACGUCCAUGAGAUGAAGGACCUCCUUUCAGCCAGUCCAGAGGCUGAAGGUGGCCUUGGCAUCCAGGAGCUGGUGAACCUGUCUGACAGGUUUCCAGGAAAGUACCCAGAGAGGCCUGACCUCUUCUUCCAGGACAGAUUGAAGACACUGAUGAGUGUUGAUGAUGCCGUUGGAGCCAUGUCCCCCGAGAAACUCACCCAGGUUGCCCGAGCCGGGUUAUAUCGAUGGGGUAUAUACGAUGGCAUUACAACCACCAUGAUUCAGUUUGUACCGUAUCAGAUGGACGAAGUUCGAAUGAGUGAGUGAGUGAGUGAUUUUGGUUUAACGCCGCUUUUAACAGUAUUCCAGUUAUAUCGCGGCGUGUCGGCUUAAUGUGGGAGGAAAGCCCGAAGUGAUGCAGGUC
This 5028-nucleotide unclassified non-coding RNA is filed under the name Haliotis rufescens (red abalone). RNAcentral's name for it is "e3 ubiquitin-protein ligase XIAP-like, transcript variant X5". Lineage: Eukaryota; Metazoa; Mollusca; Gastropoda; Lepetellida; Haliotidae. The record is from RNAcentral.